Molecule: ribosomal RNA, 561 nt
Filed under: Triticum aestivum (bread wheat)
Lineage: Eukaryota; Viridiplantae; Streptophyta; Magnoliopsida; Poales; Poaceae
Description: partial small subunit ribosomal RNA
Source: RNAcentral
UAUAUACAGUCGUGGCCAUAAAUAGCUAAGUUCCAGAAUAAGCCCUUUCCCCUCUACGAUAAGCUUGGUGAUCUGUAUGACGGACAUAUAGCAGAAGGUAACUUCAAUUUCACAUCAACUCAGGUUACACAAGUGAGUGAUGGUGAUCCCGAAGUUGAAAGAGAGCAGACUUCCUUCUCUUUUGACCUGGAUCAAUAUGGUGAUGAUUUACACAUGUAAGAUGAUCCAAGAGAUGCCGCCUGAUGUGACGGUUCAAGAGAUGCUGCCCCAAGUGAUGGUCCAAGAGAUGCUGCCCCAAGUGAUGGUCCAAGAGAUGGUGCUCCCGGUGGUUCAAAUAAGAAGCCAGUGAAGGAGCCCAAGAAUAAGAAGCGUGAUGAUCCGAUGGUGGAGGUGAAGGCACAAUAUGUGGAGAUCAAAUGGAAGCAAGCGGAGGAGGAGUCUGUUUUGUUGGCAGGGUCAAAAAAUGCCCAAGAGUUCUCCAUCAGCAAGUGCAUUGCUGAUGAAGAUAGUGCUGGUGUGUUUCUUCGGAGCGAAAUGGCAGUGUUGCAUCAACGUAUCUAA